AACGAACGCUGGCGGCAGGCUUAACACAUGCAAGUCGAACGCAUCCUUCGGGGUGAGUGGCAGACGGGUGAGUAACGCGUGGGAACGUGCCCUCAGUUCGGGAUAACCCAGGGAAACUUGGGCUAAUACCGGAUACGUGCGAGAGCAGAAAGAUUUAUCGCUGAAGGAUCGGCCCGCGUCUGAUUAGCUAGUUGGUGGGGUAAAGGCCCACCAAGGCGACGAUCAGUAGCUGGUCUGAGAGGAUGAUCAGCCACAUUGGGACUGAGACACGGCCCAAACUCCUACGGGAGGCAGCAGUGGGGAAUAUUGGACAAUGGGCGCAAGCCUGAUCCAGCCAUGCCGCGUGAGUGAUGAAGGCCUUAGGGUUGUAAAGCUCUUUCGUCCGGGACGAUAAUGACGGUACCGGAAGAAGAAGCCCCGGCUAACUUCGUGCCAGCAGCCGCAGUAA
RNAcentral lists this ribosomal RNA (448 nucleotides) under uncultured bacterium. RNAcentral's name for it is "partial 16S ribosomal RNA". It matches the Rfam family "Bacterial small subunit ribosomal RNA", at positions 29 to 523 of the family's 1533-position model. The record is from RNAcentral.